GGACUUACGGUUUUGUAUUGGAAUGAGUUAAGUAUAAACCCCUUUACAAGUAUCAAUUGGAGGGCAAGUCUGGUGCCAGCAGCCGCGGUAAUUCCAGCUCCAAUAGCGUAUAUUAAAGUUGUUGCAGUUAAAAAGCUCGUAGUUGGAUUUCUGUUAAUAAUUUAUAUAUAAUAUUACGGUAUUUAUAUAAUAUUAACAUAAUUCAUAUUACUUUAUUUUUAGAGUAUAUGAAAUUUUACUUUGAGAAAAUUAGAGUGCUUAAAGCAGGCAUAUGCCUUGAAUACUCCAGCAUGGAAUAAUAUUAAAGAUUUUUAUCUUUCUUAUUGGUUCUAAGAUAAAAAUAAUGAUUAAUAGGGACAGUUGGGGGCAUUUGUAUUUAACAGUCAGAGGUGAAAUUCUUAGAUUUGUUAAAGACAAACUAGUGCGAAAGCAUUUGCCAAGGAUGUUUUCAUUAAUCAAGAACGAAAGUUAGGGGAUCGAAGACGAUCAGAUACCGUCGUAGUCUUAACCAUAAACUAUGCCAACUAGAGAUUGGAGGUUGUCCUUUACUCC
This 552-nucleotide ribosomal RNA is filed under the name Cryptosporidium varanii. RNAcentral's name for it is "SSU rRNA". It matches the Rfam family "Eukaryotic small subunit ribosomal RNA", at positions 492 to 1073 of the family's 1831-position model. The record is from RNAcentral. Lineage: Eukaryota; Apicomplexa; Conoidasida; Eucoccidiorida; Cryptosporidiidae.